This 487-nucleotide ribosomal RNA is filed under the name uncultured bacterium. RNAcentral describes it as "partial 16S ribosomal RNA". It matches the Rfam family "Bacterial small subunit ribosomal RNA", at positions 899 to 1397 of the family's 1533-position model. The record is from RNAcentral.
ACUCAAAUGAAUUGACGGGGACUCACACAAGCGGUGGACCAUGUGGCUUAAUUCGACAACAAACGAAGAACCUUACCAGGACUAGAAACCCAGACGAAAGCCUGAUGAAAGUUAGGCCCCUCACAAGGCGGCUGGGCAGGUGCUGCAUGGUUGUCGUCAGUUCGUGUCUUGAGACGUACCGUUAAUUCGGGUAACGAACGUAACCCUUGCCCUGUGUUUUACAUGUCACAGGGGACUGCCCGAGAUAAUUGGGAGGAAGGUGAGGAUGACGCCAAAUCAGCAUGGCCCUUGAUGUCCUGGGCUGCACACGUGGUACAAUGGUAAGUACAAUGGGAAGCAAAGUCGUAAGGCGAAGCUAAUCUCAUCAAAGCUUAUCUCAGUUCGGAUUGAGGGCUGAAACUCGCCCUCAUGAAGCUGGAAUCGCUAGUAAUCGCCAAUCAGCUACGUGGCGAUGAAUACGUUCCUGAGUCUUGUACACACCGCCCGU